Molecule: ribosomal RNA, 531 nt
Filed under: Bifidobacterium dentium
Lineage: Bacteria; Bacillati; Actinomycetota; Actinomycetes; Bifidobacteriales; Bifidobacteriaceae
Description: bacterial SSU rRNA
Rfam family: Bacterial small subunit ribosomal RNA
Source: RNAcentral
UGGUAAUGCCGGAUGCUCCGGUUGGAUGCAUGUCCUUCCGGGAAAGAUUCCAUCGGUAUGGGAUGGGGUCGCGUCCUAUCAGCUUGAUGGCGGGGUAACGGCCCACCAUGGCUUCGACGGGUAGCCGGCCUGAGAGGGCGACCGGCCACAUUGGGACUGAGAUACGGCCCAGACUCCUACGGGAGGCAGCAGUGGGGAAUAUUGCACAAUGGGCGCAAGCCUGAUGCAGCGACGCCGCGUGCGGGAUGGAGGCCUUCGGGUUGUAAACCGCUUUUGAUCGGGAGCAAGCCCUUCGGGGUGAGUGUACCCUUCGAAUAAGCACCGGCUAACUACGUGCCAGCAGCCGCGGUAAUACGUAGGGUGCAAGCGUUAUCCGGAAUUAUUGGGCGUAAAGGGCUCGUAGGCGGUUCGUCGCGUCCGGUGUGAAAGCCCAUCGCUUAACGGUGGGUCUGCGCCGGGUACGGGCGGGCUGGAGUGCGGUAGGGGAGACUGGAAUUCCCGGUGUAACGGUGGAAUGUGUAGAUAUCGGAA